UACAGGGGGGGCAAGCGUUGUCCGGAAUCAUUGGGCGUAAAGCGCGUGUAGGCGGCCACUUAAGUCCUGCGUGAAAUCCUGCGGCUCAACCGCAGGCGGUCGUGGGAAACUGGGUGGCUAGAGUGCGGGAGAGGAGAGUGGAAUUCCUGGUGUAGCGGUGGAAUGCGCAGAUAUCAGGAAGAACACCCGUGGCGAAGGCGGCUCUCUGGAACGCAACUGACGCUGAGACGCGAAAGCGUGGGGAGCAAACAGG
RNAcentral lists this ribosomal RNA (253 nucleotides) under uncultured bacterium. RNAcentral describes it as "partial 16S ribosomal RNA". It matches the Rfam family "Bacterial small subunit ribosomal RNA", at positions 524 to 776 of the family's 1533-position model. The record is from RNAcentral.